Molecule: ribosomal RNA, 432 nt
Filed under: Candida tropicalis
Lineage: Eukaryota; Fungi; Ascomycota; Pichiomycetes; Serinales; Debaryomycetaceae
Description: eukaryotic LSU rRNA
Rfam family: Eukaryotic large subunit ribosomal RNA
Source: RNAcentral
GGGUCUGGCUCUUGUAUAUGUUUCUNGGAACAUAACGUCACAGAGGGUGAGAAUCCCNUGCGAUGAGAUGAUCCAGGCCUAUGUAAAGUUCCUUCGAAGAGUCGAGUNGUUNGGGAAUGCAGCUCUAAGUGGGUGGUAAAUUCCAUCUAAAGCUAAAUAUUGGCGAGAGACCGAUAGCGAACAAAUACAAUGAUGGAAAGAUGAAAAAAUCUUUGAAAAGAGAGUGAAAAAGUACGUGAAAUUGUUGAAAGCGAAGGCCUUGAGAUCAGACUUAGUAUCUUGUAUGUUACUUCUUCGGGGGUGCCCUCUACAGUUUAUCGGGGAAGCAUCAGUUUGGGCGGUAGGAGAAUUGCGUUGGAAUCGGAAAUUACUUCGGUUGUGUGUUAUAGUCCUUCGUCGAUACUGCCAGCCUAGACUGAGGACUGCGGUCGA